UACAGAGGUCCCAAGCGUUGUUCGGAUUUACUGGGCGUAAAGUGUGCGCAGGCGGCCGAGCAAGUCGAGUGUGAAAGCCCCGGGCUUAACUUGGGAAUUGCGCUCGAAACUACUUGGCUGGAGUGUGGCAGAGGAAGGUGGAAUUCCAGGUGUAGCGGUGAAAUGCGUAGAGAUCUGGAGGAACACCGAUGGCGAAGGCAGCCUUCUGGGCCAACACUGACGCUCAUGCACGAAAGCGUGGGGAGCAAACAGG
Molecule: ribosomal RNA, 253 nt
Filed under: uncultured bacterium
Lineage: Bacteria
Description: partial 16S ribosomal RNA
Rfam family: Bacterial small subunit ribosomal RNA
Source: RNAcentral